UACGUAGGUGGCAAGCGUUGUCCGGAUUUAUUGGGUUUAAAGGGUGCGUAGGCGGCCCUGUAAGUCAGUGGUGAAAUACUCUAGCUUAACUAGAGGGGUGCCAUUGAUACUGCAGGGCUUGAGUGAAGUCGAGGUAGGCGGAAUUGACGGUGUAGCGGUGAAAUGCUUAGAUAUCGUCAAGAACACCGAUAGUGUAGACAGCUUACUAGGCUUCAACUGACGCUGAGGCACGAAAGUGUGGGGAUCAAACAGG
RNAcentral lists this ribosomal RNA (253 nucleotides) under uncultured bacterium. RNAcentral describes it as "partial 16S ribosomal RNA". It matches the Rfam family "Bacterial small subunit ribosomal RNA", at positions 524 to 776 of the family's 1533-position model. The record is from RNAcentral.